RNAcentral lists this long non-coding RNA (677 nucleotides) under Eutrema salsugineum. RNAcentral's name for it is "long non-coding RNA (ESAL_LNC002014)". The record is from RNAcentral. Lineage: Eukaryota; Viridiplantae; Streptophyta; Magnoliopsida; Brassicales; Brassicaceae.
CCGGUGUCGGUGGCCAAUCUCCGGUCUCCACUCCAACUACUUCCCCUGCUAAAGCCCCCGCCGUUACUGAAACUCCGGCGAAAACUCCGGCUUCUUCACCGGUCGAGUCACCUAAAUCUCCGCCUCCGGCUCCUGUUCCCGAGAGCUCUCCUCCGGCUCCUUCACCAAAAGCUUCUGCUCCAGUGAGCUCUCCACCGGUUCCAGCACCAGAAGCUGAUACUCCUCCGGCUCCGGUAGCCGCUCCAGUUGCCGAUGUACCGGCUCCGGCUCCGAGCAAGCAUAAAAAGGCGGCGAAGAAGCAUCAAAAAGCACCGGCUCCGGCUCCGGAACUUGACAGUCCACCUGCACCACCGGCAGAAGCUCCUGGACCUGACUCCGACGCAUCUUCUCCCGGUCCGGCCACAUCCGCCGACGAUCAGGUACAUUAGCCUUAAAUUUCAAUAAAAAAUGAUGAAAUUCGAAAGCCAAAGUAUGAAUCUUCCUAUUGCCAUUUUUAAUUAUGAUUUAGAUAACAAGAAAAAAUAAUUAGUCUAGUUUUGGUUUAGGAUCUCUCCGGUUAUAGAAAGCAAUUUUGAGAUUUUACAUCUGGAAUUUUUAGAGACAUUCUCCACAUUUAAACAUCCAUUUCAAUUUUCGUUAUAUUUUUUUGUAAUUUUUAUAUGGAAUUAAUGCAGAGC